RNAcentral lists this transfer RNA (72 nucleotides) under Solanum tuberosum (potato). It matches the Rfam family "tRNA". From Rfam's summary of the family: Transfer RNA (tRNA) molecules are approximately 80 nucleotides in length. Their secondary structure includes four short double-helical elements and three loops (D, anti-codon, and T loops). The record is from Rfam by way of RNAcentral. Lineage: Eukaryota; Viridiplantae; Streptophyta; Magnoliopsida; Solanales; Solanaceae.
AAGGAUGUGGCGCAACUUAGUAACGCGUUUGUUUUGGGUACAAAAUGUCACGGUUCAAUCCUGUCAUUUCUA